Poecilia reticulata (guppy) is the source of this 816-nucleotide long non-coding RNA. RefSeq lists it as uncharacterized. Lineage: Eukaryota; Metazoa; Chordata; Actinopteri; Cyprinodontiformes; Poeciliidae. The record is from RefSeq and is a predicted model, not a curated record.
CGGGCUCCUGUGGGGGGAGAAGAGGACCAAUCAGAGAGGUUGUGGUUUCUGGGCUUCGUUUUCUCUCUUUCUGGAGGUGACUCUUUUCCCAGCUGUGAUGUCCGCUGACCCCCGCCCCCCACGCCCGACCCGGCGAGUCCGGUUCUGGAGAACCAAAACUACCGGAGUCCACCGAGCCGCAGCUGAAAGUUUCCUCUGUGUAUGAGAAGAUGUCAUUACCCAGGUGUCACACAAGGUACGUCGCAUAAUGAGUAACAGCGAAGAACUGUCUCAAGACCUUCACACCGCACAACAAUCUGAUGGUAUUGGUUACAGAAGGAUUUCUAAACUUCUGAACAUGUUGAGAAAGUAAUCUGGAAGCGUAAAGAACAUCAUUAGAUCGUGGAAUGGCCGCGACCAGACGCAAGAUUUCUGACAGAGGACUGAAAAGAGUUAUCAGGAGAGUUGACCAACAACCCAGGACCACAUGUGGAGACUUUCAGAAAGACCUGAAUCAUCAUGAACAACUGUGUCAAAGAAACCAAUAAGCAGUGAACUGAACUGCCAUGGCCUGUACUCGAAACCAAAAAUUCCACUUCGGAAGAAAAAGCAUGUUGAAGCCUGUUUAAAGUUCGCUGGACAACAUUUGGAGAAAAUUACUGGGAGAAAACAGUCUGGUCAUAUGAGAGCAGAAUGGAACUAUUUGGAUGCCGUAACACAUUUCAUCAUCGUGUUCGGAGGAUGAAACGCCAAAAACACCACAGAGACAGUGAAGUUUGGAGAUGGGAACAAACACAGUUGUAAAAGAAAAAGUUGUAAAAAUUACGAAGGUUUGUA